Molecule: ribosomal RNA, 406 nt
Filed under: uncultured bacterium
Lineage: Bacteria
Description: partial 16S ribosomal RNA
Rfam family: Bacterial small subunit ribosomal RNA
Source: RNAcentral
AUUGAACGCUGGCGGCAGGCCUAACACAUGCAAGUCGAACGAGUGGCGGACGGGUGAGUAAUGUCUGGGAAACUGCCUGAUGGAGGGGGCUAACUACUGGAAACGGUAGCUAAUACCGCAUACCAUCGGAUGUGCCCAGAUGGGAUUAGCUAGUAGGUGGGGUAAAGGCUCACCUAGGCGGCGAUCCCUAGCUGGUCUGAGAGGAUGACCAGCCAAACGGGAAGUGAGGAACAGUCCAGACUGCUAAGGUAGGCAGCAGUGGGGAAUAGUGCACAAUGGGCGCAAGCCUGAUGUAGCCAUGCCGCGUGUAUGAAGAAGGCCUUCGGGUUGUAAAGUACUUUCAGCGGGGAGGCGUUACCCGCAGAAGAAGCACCGGCUAACUCCGUGCCAGCAGCCGCGGUAAUAC